GAGGAUGAGGGCAUUGUCGACGCGCCGAAAGGAAGAGCGGGCAAUUACAGCACCAACGAUGACAAGUUACUAUGCAAUACUUAUUUGCAAGUGUCGAGGGAUCCAUCCAUUGAAGGUGAUCAAAGUAGAGAUGCGUAUUGGGGGCGAAUGAAAGAAUACUUUGAUGAUCACAAUGUGAGUGGAAUUGACCACUCCAAGAGAUCACUUCGGUCCCGAUGGUCCACAAUCAACUCGGAUUGUCAAAAGUGGGCGGCCGCAUAAAAGGUAGUUGACAAGAUUAACCCAAGUGGCACAAAUGAGGAUGAUAGAGUAAGUGGCAUCUCAUAUAUGUUCAUCUCAUACUUGUUUUUGGUGUCCGAAGUGCUAACUUGUUUUGUUUUUCUUGUAGUUCAACAUUGCACAAAACUUGUUCAAAGAAGAGACGAGGACAACCAAGAAGGGGAAGAUCAAGGAAGGAAGGGUCUUUACCUUGCCUCAUUGCUAUGA
RNAcentral lists this ribosomal RNA (486 nucleotides) under Triticum aestivum (bread wheat). RNAcentral's name for it is "partial small subunit ribosomal RNA". Lineage: Eukaryota; Viridiplantae; Streptophyta; Magnoliopsida; Poales; Poaceae. The record is from RNAcentral.